ACGGGGGGUGCGAGCGUUGUCCGGAAUCACUGGGCGUAAAGGGCGCGUAGGUGGCCACCAUAAGGCCGCGGUGAAAGUUCGGGGCUCAACCCCGGGUCGGCCGUGCGAACUGCUAGGCUUGAGCACUGUAGAGGCAGGUGGAAUUCCGGGUGUAGCGGUGGAAUGCGUAGAGAUCCGGAAGAACACCGGUGGCGAAGGCGGCCUGCUGGGCAG
This 213-nucleotide ribosomal RNA is filed under the name uncultured prokaryote. RNAcentral describes it as "partial 16S ribosomal RNA". It matches the Rfam family "Bacterial small subunit ribosomal RNA", at positions 525 to 736 of the family's 1533-position model. The record is from RNAcentral.